Manis pentadactyla (Chinese pangolin) is the source of this 2462-nucleotide long non-coding RNA. RefSeq lists it as uncharacterized. The transcript is spliced from 2 exons. The record is from RefSeq and is a predicted model, not a curated record. NCBI's taxonomy places the organism in Eukaryota, Metazoa, Chordata, Mammalia, Pholidota, Manidae.
CCCAACACUCACCUCCACGUCCUGAAUGAUGAGAGCAGAGGUGUGACACUGACUGCCCCACCAGGGGGCCACCACCUCACAACAUGCUGCCACCCAGGAGUGGCGCCCCUCCUCCCCAGCCUUCAGUCCUGCCCAUACCCCACACCCACCACACACACACACACAGAAGGGGCCGGGGGGAAGGUCAUCCCGGGAUGGGUCACACUUGGGGCCUGGCCCUGGAGUGGCCCGCUCUGGGCUGCCCUGUGUUACCUCGGGGUUCCUUGGCCAACACGGACAGAGGCGUUGGAGGUGGUCUCUGAGCCAACGCCCACAGCGAGCAGGAAGACCGUCCCUGUUUGCUUCCCUAACUUCCAUGCCUUCAGAAGGCUGUGCACAACAAGACCGUAUGUUGCUCUGUCGAGCGUCUCUGGUCAAGUGAGCAGGACUGGGGUCUGUGACCAGGAACUGGGCACCAGGUCACAAUUCAGGUUCUACUGGGCGUGUCACCAGCGACAUCACUUCCUGAAGGUUCCAUUUCGUGGGUCCCUCCCUGCAUUCAGACUCAUCCACAUGCCCCUCUGGGCUGCCGACCCACCGCCCAUCCUCCUGGACCCCUUGCCGUGCAUGACUACACAGAUCUCCACCAGAGCCCUCCCCUCGCUCUUUGGCAAUGUCCUUAGGGUCCCAGCUCUGAGGAGACAGAUGAGCUCAGACCUCUUUUUCUCACCAGUUCCCUGUCCUGCUGAACCCACAGUGCCUCCCAGGAGCUACCCAAUGUCCCAACCUGCACAGGCAGGGUCAUGCCAGACAUUUCUCCCUAGGGACAUCCUCAGGGAUAUAUGGAUGACACCUCCAACUCCUCCUGGGAGCUGGUGUCAUGUGUGUCUGCACACAGGCUCAGAGAUGGAACAAUGCCAACCAGGCUUGGCAUGGGGCGUGGAACACCAUGCAAGUCAGGCCCGGGUUCGGGCCAUGAGAUCUUGAGCAAGUCAUCCCCCCUCUAGGCCAUUUUCAGGUGUGCACCUUGAAGGGGUGGCAAUGACAGGAGACCCGGGUGUUGUCAUCUACUCCCAAGGCAUCCACCUUGCAGAGGUCUCCGUUCUAUGAGGACCAUACCCGAGGGCCUCCCGUUGACAUAUGUGGUGGGCAGCCUUGUAUGGUGAACCCAGUAAUCCCUCCUAGGAAGCACAUACCCUGCUACCACUGCGUGGUGUGAACAGCACAGCCAAGGGGAUGUGCUGUCACAGCCACAUUGCAUGAAAAGCAGUCACUUCCCCACUUUUCAUGCUUUCUGUACAAAAGGGUCCUGACACUGCCCAGGGCAGUGAGCUUGGUAGCCCAUAUCAGUGUGUAUGUGUCACGGCUUCUACGCACAUAUUCUAUUUUUCAGACAUAAGGCAGUGGGGUUUGGAUGCAGCAAGAAAAUGGAUACGUUCAUCCAUUUUGUUCACGGUGUGACAUAUUUACGGAACAAAUGUCAUGGUUAAGAUCACAGAAUAGGGAGCUACUAGCUCAUUUUCAACAUCCAGCUUUAACCACUUGGUAGGCAUUUGACUGCGGGCAAGUCACCGACCUUGGUAGCACAGUUUCUCCACCUGUCCCUUGGCCGUCAUCGUAGGAUCUUGAUUAUGUGAGGUCACAGAGAGCAUUGAAGGCGUUACCCUGGGAAGAAGGCUUGGAAGGCCUGGCACAUCACAAGUGCUUCAUCUAGUUAGUAUAAAUCUAUUGUUACAUUCCUCUAACCUGUCUGUAAGCUCCAGAGGGCACAGAGCUAAGGGAGUCAAUGCAGAAUUUCCAGAACCUCCCACCUAGCCUUAGUCCAUUUACAGAUCAGUGGUUGUAACUAGUGCAGGGCCUUGCAACCUCCGGGAUAAGGGGUGGAAAGGAAAUGGCCAUUCUCUCCUUCCGUCCAUUCCUGGUAUGAACUGGUCUGGCAUCUGCCAAGCACCAAGGACCCACUCACGGAGUUCCUGCUAGAAGGGGUGGGUAGGGGAAGGGGAGCACCAUCCGCGGCUGGACUAGAUGGGUGGUGCUGAGCCUGGCUAGCGACUGAGAGCCAGGAACAGUUUGCCUUCAUGUGGGAAGGGUGGCCGAGGAUGUUCGCUGUCUAUCUGCAGGGACACCCCUGCAGUUCCAACAUAUGUCACGGACUUGUAGCCCAGGAGUUGGCAGCAUGGGAGAAACUGCCAACAGUGCACCUGUAUCAUCAUAUUGAUGACAUUAUGCUCACAUCUGAUUCUCUUCCAGAUCUACAAGGUGCAGCACCCGGAGUGCUGCAGCAUCUACAGGAGAAAGGAUGACAGGAGGGACAGAAGUUGGGGCCAGCUAUCACUUUCUGCCUGGCCUCCUGGUUGGCUGCUGGUGGCAGAGGGAUCUGUGAUGUAAGCCCGGGGAGAGGAAAUCCCAGGGCAAAAUACCUUUAACAACAGAAAUCAGUCAAAGGAAGAAAUAAAGUUUAAAAUUCAUUUAUUGCUUAUAAA